Ceratotherium simum simum (southern white rhinoceros) is the source of this 66-nucleotide non-coding RNA. The record is from RefSeq and is a predicted model, not a curated record. NCBI's taxonomy places the organism in Eukaryota, Metazoa, Chordata, Mammalia, Perissodactyla, Rhinocerotidae.
ACAACUGGGUGAUCUGCAUAACUCAAUGAACCAGUACUUCCCAAAUGACCAAUGCAUGAUGUUACA